UCUGCCGCGUCUCCGCCUUUUCCUCCGCGUGGCCCGUUCCGGCUCCUCUCCGCGGCGUGGGCUGCAGGCACCGGUAGACUUGCUGUCCGAGCCAUCGCUCUCGCUGUCCCACUCGUCUGGGUCGGAAGCGAAGCCUUCGGGUGAAAAUAGAACCGAGUGGCCGAGCAGCUGCUCCUGAUCCGGUGACCGAGCGAGGGUCCGCUCCGGAUCAGCAUAGCAUUUCGACUCAAUGACGGCUGUUUUCUGGGUCGCCAGCUCGCGGCGGAGAAGGGAAGACAGUCACAAACAUCGGGACCAACGCAACGGCCGCCAUUUAUGCACAUGUGCUCGCAUAUGCCUGAGGAAACGGAGAGAGACGAUUUUGGGAAGCAAGCAGCGUCUCCCGGUGUAGCCCUGCAGGCACCAACAGACGUUGUUCCUCAUGCACAGACCGCCAUUCUUGCAGGGCGGUGUGCAAAUGGCUGCAAACAGAAAGUGGGAUGGCAUCAGUGCAGCCAAAGCAGAGGAACACGCGUCGUCCCGAUACCACGUACCGUUUUGACACCGGGUACCGUAGAAACCGCCAGGACACUCGCAGCUGUCGGGUCGGAUGCACAAACCGCCGUUCAGGCAGACCGGACCGCAAAGAGCUAAAGAAAGCCGACAUCAGCAUGGGGACAUUGGACGGUAAAAUUUUCAAUUGUGCCAAAUAAAAAGGCUUGAGCCACAUCAUGUGGUGCCUCGCCAUACAUGUUUCGGCAACGUUGAAAUUCCCAACCGUUUUGCACCCAGUCUAGUACAGCAAGGUAAGGAAAUUUUCAAGCUCACCAGUCUCACAGGAAGGUCCGCUCCAACCAGGCUGACAGCUGCACUUGUCUGGAGAGACACAGCGGCCGCCGUUGUGACAGUGGCGGCUGCAAACCACUGCGACCGACAG
Molecule: long non-coding RNA, 916 nt
Organism: Syngnathus acus (greater pipefish)
Lineage: Eukaryota; Metazoa; Chordata; Actinopteri; Syngnathiformes; Syngnathidae
Exons: 4
Source: RefSeq, a predicted model, not a curated record